This is a long non-coding RNA of Alosa sapidissima (American shad), 395 nucleotides long. RefSeq lists it as uncharacterized. NCBI's taxonomy places the organism in Eukaryota, Metazoa, Chordata, Actinopteri, Clupeiformes, Clupeidae. The transcript has 3 exons. The record is from RefSeq and is a predicted model, not a curated record.
GUGCUCUACAAGGAGUUGCAGGAGUUGGGGAUGGAGAGAAGUUGAGAAGCAAGAUUUACUUUCUUUGGCUAGUCCAUGCAGCACCGUGCAGGAGUCAUAUCAUGCACAGCUAUCUAGUUGGUUAAUAUAGCUUGUUACACCCACUGAACCAGGUCAGAAUGUGGUCAGACAAAAAACAAAAGUGGAAGCCAUGCACUUUACAUCAAACAACACUGACAGAUUCUCACCCAUGCUGAAGAUGUCAAGGACUCUGCUCACUCUAUUCUCAGUAGUUCUGUGUGUCAGUCUCCCCUCAGCAUCUGCUGCCCAGAUCAGGCUGGUGAAUGGGACCAGUGGGUGCUCAGGUCGAGUGGAGGUGCAUAUCUCUAACCAGUGGGGAACUGUGUGUGAUGAUG